Non-coding RNA from Zonotrichia albicollis (white-throated sparrow), 10509 nucleotides. The record is from RefSeq and is a predicted model, not a curated record. NCBI's taxonomy places the organism in Eukaryota, Metazoa, Chordata, Aves, Passeriformes, Passerellidae.
UCAAACCGUACUUUUACCAGGACAAUUGUAGUUUGUACUUUGACCAAUUCAAGAUCUUUUUCAUUUAGAAAUGUAUAGUCUUCAGCAGGGAAAGAAGGAAGACAGAAGUAAACUGCUGUAAAAUAUAUGUGGCAUUUAAAACUACACUACUAGUUUUUAAUUUUUUUUUUUAAUCUUCCAAAAUCCCAGUCCUUGGUUUAUGACCUUCAGGUUUAAAUCUUUCACGCUGUCUGUUGCAAAAUAAAUACUGGUAUCUUUGUCUGACAGGUUAUCCAGGUAUCAUUCUGAGCAGUUGUUUAUGCAGUCUCCUGCUUGGGUCAGUUUAUUUUUUACUGUUACAGUCCACACAAUGUAAAAAGAGGAUUUAAAUAGAGUUCUACUCAUCCUACUAUUUAGGCACGCCUGCAACCCAGAUAUUUGGCAGCAGGCAGCACACAGAAACUUCUACUCAGUAAACAGGUUUGUCCAACACAAGUUAUAGCCAGAGAUACCAAGCAAAUCAGGGCAGAAGCAGAACAAAAACACCUCAGGAUUUGUUGUCCUUCUCAUGCUCUGCCUUGAACAGAAAGGCUCUAAAACUGCGAGUGAGAAUGGCUGGGAAGGGAGGAACUUGGUUGCUCAACUUGUAGCAAUUAUGCUGAACUUGACAGCACAAAGGAUAUGCAAAGGUAACAACACUGAAACCAAAGGCUCCUAUUAAAAGCUUUCCUCUGACAUUCUUGUGUGCUGACUAAGAUCUGAAUUCUCCUCUGUCUGGUCAGAUACAUCUAUAUGAUGACACGCUGAAUUAUAUCUCACACUUAGAAGCUGGGAGGAAAAAAGUUUCCCAUUUUUAUGAAAGUUGACCUUUAAGCAUGAAACCUCUUUUUCCAAGCUACUCUGCACCUGUAAAAAGACACAAGUCUGAGCUCAGGUCCUAUGUGGGAAGCAGAAAAACAAUACAGAGCUCAGGGUGCUGCCAUGACAAGCUGGCAGGUCAGGAAACCCGACCUUUUCACACAUCAGAUCAACACAUCUGCCCCAGUGCAGCCUGCCACACAGACUACAACAGACUAUGCAAAGAAAACCAUUCAAUGUUAGACUUCUGUAUUGACUAUGUCAGUCUAGUGGAGACAAACUUAUACCAGGAGGACUUUAAAGACAGGAGGGUAAGUCUGUACACCGAGGUUCAGCUAUAUGUAAGCACAGGCACAGUCGAAGAUAUUUUUAACUGCACCCACAAUGACAAUUUUGUCAGUCUGAUGGAUAAGAAAAAGGUGAGGCCAGCACAAAAGUGACAUGCAAAUCAAAAUUCAGUUGAGCCAGGAAAAGGAUCAAAAGACCUUAUUCUCCCCCAGAAUGACUUAACCUUGCCCCACAAACAGGCUGUGGAUAGGACUCCGAGACAGUCACUUAGGCCUACAGAUUGAUGAUUUUGUCUGCAAGUCACAAAUGCAAGCCCAUGAUCCCACCCACAUACCUUUCCACUUAUGUACACACAUCUGGUGUUUUGCAUAGAUGUGGGAAAAAAUACUUUUGCUUCUCCCUGCAUGUGGUGGUGUUUUGGUUGGAUUGGGUUUUUCUAAACUGAAAAAUGGGAAUACUUAGUGCAUUUGGGGAGAAGUGUGGCAAGGGUGGAGGAACUUACUUUAUGAGGCUCAGAGCAAAUCCAUAGAAAAGCCAAGACAGAAAAAUCCAGAGGAGCAUGACAAUUAUCCUGUUCAGGUGGUCAAACUGUUUUGGUUCCCUUGGUUUGAGAUUAUCUUUAUCACUGACUAAUUGUCACCAUUAUUUUCAUUUCCUUUUUGAACACUAAAUUCUGCUUUAGCAAAAACAGACUUUUGUAAUGUCAACAUCUGUUUUAUGUUACACGGAAUGGUAAUUUUAAGUUAGCAAUUUCUCAAAUACAAAACCAAACAUGUACUUCAGAUGUUUAUUUUUAAACUGGAAAGGCCUGUGCGGGUUUCUUGCCUUCACAGUACUUCUCUCUCUGUGAGUUAAGUGAAGCUGCAAAGCUGCAUUUCUGAAGAUGUUAUACAGAUCUUUUUGAUCACAAAAAUCAGGUCUCAUGUAUAUGGGUAAAACUUCAAAUAAUUUUAAAGCAGUAUUAUUUAUACUAGGGCUGUCAUUGGUUCAUAAAGAAAAUGGAGGCUUAGGUGCAAAGAGCUUUCUCAUUGCUGUGAAAAACCACCACUCCAAAGACAAUAUAGAAAGGUCUUGACCAGAAGGGUCUAUGCCCUUCAAAUUCCACUUGCUAACAAACUGUCCUUACAAAGAAUCUCUCUGCAUGAAGAUUUCAUUUGUAUACAUUUCAAUACUUGAGAAUGCAAGGUUUUUAGCAUGAAAACCUAGCAGCAAUACCUGAAACCCUAACCCAAGAGUAUUCCUCAGAUCUGCAUGUUUCCUCUGCUUCACCCUUCAAGUCUGUGAUCUGUACUCUGAGCCGUAAAACCCACCUGCUAAAACCAAGCAUGCUUCCACAACCCUAAAAAUAUUAGCUUCUUUUUAAAAUCUAGAAGUAGUAUUCAUUAUAAAGUUGGCCUUUUAAAGCAAUAAUUAAAGGGGUAUACUACUAAAACAUUCAAAGCAAAUAAUUUGUGAGGACUGGGGGAGUUGUUUAAAGGUCAUACCUUUUUCUUAGUGUUUACUAAAUGUUUUGUGCCCAAGGCCUUUCUGGCAGUGAGCAAAAGGAGCUAUUUAGAAUGUGAGAGACCUUAUAAGGCUGGACUUAGCAGGGUGGAUCCAGGUGCAACAUUUUUUUCUACAUAUACAAUAACAAAGACAUUUUGUAAAUCACACUUUAUUACAACACAGAACAAAUACAGCAUAAUGCGUCUAGCAGGAGCAAACUACAGAAGAGGAAAACAGCAAUGAGUCACACAACAUACAUAAUCCUGCCUCUAAAAAACAGGAGCAGAAUCAGAGGACAAAGACAUUUUCACAGUUGAGAGCUACAAAAUGGUUAUUUUCUGCUGCACUCAUUCAGUGCUCAAGCACAAAAACCCCUGCACAUUUAAAACAAAACAAAACAGAAAAGUCAUAUGUAUCUAAAAAUCAUGUUUUCCUGUGGGCAAUAUUCUAAGGACUUAUUUUCAAAUGUCAAGAAACAUCUUGAAAAUAACUUAACUUACAGGGCAAUCCAGUAGACACUGACACACAAUAUUCUGCCUCUUUCUAAAAAAGUGCAAGUUAAAAUAGAAUGAGAUUAAAUACUGAUCAGCAUUAAUGGAGACCACACAGAAUGUAGCAAGUCAGUUGACACAGUCAUAGUCUCAAGUAGUUGGACUGCUCAUAAAUUGCUUGAGCAUAUAAAACCUAAUCUAAAAACUUGAAGCAAACUUUAAAGUUACCUCAGGAAUUAAUACACAAUGACAGGGAGAAAACAGGGAAUAAUUAAUUAGGCUCCUAUUACUAUAGGUUAAUCUCUCAGAUCAAGAGUAGAUAUGGCAUGCUCCACUGUGGGAUUUUUCCUUUCAUCUGCUGGAAUUCAUUUGAGUAUUUCAGCCUCCAGACAAAGAGCAGCAAACAAGAUUUUACAAAGAUUACAGGAAAAUAAAGUAAUCCAAGAGUCAAUAUGAGACUUCAUGCAGCAGGUACUAAUACUUAAGAGGCUUUUUCUACUGGAAUGAUCUACCACUAAUUUAACUAAACUUACUAAAAAACACUCAUUAAAAUACAUCUGGGAUAUUCAACAGAGACAAGUUUUGGGUAGAGGACGAUACAGGCUACAGCUGGUGUCCCUUAGAGAGCAGUGAGACACGUGUUGGAGUAGAGCAGCAAGCUGUGACUCAGAGCACACCCAAGUGCAAUUCUUUGUUCCCUCCUUGCUCCUUACACACUGCACUCGCUGUCACAGCAGCCCCAGCACAGCCACGCACAGAGCUACGCUGCAGAGGGCAGCUACAGCUCGGGCACGCACACGGACAGACAGACAGGAGAGGAAACUGAAGUAGGAACACAAUCAAAAUGAAUUCUGGACAGGCAUCACCUGAAUCAAACCUGAACCUGGCUAUCAUUACAUGAAUCACUACCUGAAUCAUUACCUGGCUAUUAAACAAUCCCAGCUAGGAUGCCAGGUCGGUUCCUAUGAAGAACAAUAAAUAACAACUCUCUGCUCUUAGGACUUUAGUUUCAUGUAUUUGGGAAUCACCAACUGUGACAUAUUUACUGAAGCAAAUGUAAUAAAAGCCCCAAAAUAACAAAACGCUAUUUUGUCACUUUUAAUAUCCCAGAUUUAUAUUACUGUAAUUAUUUCUAACACGAUUAUUUUAGUGUGUGCCAUUAACUCAAUAACAGAGCAGCAAGCAUCAAAGUUUUCCCCCUUCUGCCUUCUAGACAAGUCAGCUUUCCAAAGUCCCUCUUGCCACAUUUAAGAUUGUUGUCAACCAAAUCCUAGAAGCAGAAGACACAAACAGAGUACAUCCUCAAACAUCAGUAACCUACAGAAAGCUCUCAAGCAGAUCAAUCACAAAUUCACGAGGAAGAUAUUUGUGUAGCACUGUAUAGAUUAACCCAGUUCUAUUUUAGGUUACUCCAGCCACUCCUGGCUGCGACAACAAAGUGCCUUCUCUGCAAUCACGUUUUCAACCCCUCAAAAAAGAGAAAAAAUAAAUUAAAUAAAGCCGACUUUGGAAACAUAUUCCUCCCACUCCCCUGCCCCAAAAGCCUUCAGAGCAAGCUAGAACCUUGGCACCUCGUGCCUGAACGCAGUCAUACCGCAGCCAGCCCAGCAGCGGUCGGGUGGCAGGGGCCGCAGCCAGGCUGGUGCCUCUCCCAUCAGCUCCCCAGGCAACCGAAACACCGCCUGAUCCUCAGCGUGGGAAGAUCCGAGACGCGAGAUUAGCGAAGAAGGAACUACAACCACACAACAGCGUCUGCCCCGGCUACUGCCCUGCCAAAACACGCGCUCUGCUCUCCACAGCGUGCGGAUCUGGAGGUAACACCUCUGGAGGACAAUGGGUGAGGAGGAGUGUCCGCAGGACAGGCUGGCACGGGCGCUGCCCGGAGCGCAGCGCGGCCGCAGCGAGCGGGCGGCGGCUGUGGGCGCGGAGGGGCGCGGGACGGCCCGCGGGAGCCGCUCAGCCGGAACAACCGGGAGGACACGGCGGCAUCUCCCCGCUGCAGGGGACUUCCUGACGGACAGAAAUACGCAGAAACGCCCCCAAGCCCUAAAAGCGCCAACAACAAGGCAUGAUUUACCCUCGCUUAUACGGCGCGAUUUCAAGGCCGGUGUCCGGCGGGUGACUGUCAAGUAAAAGAUCUUGCUGCCCUAACAGAAGAAAGCUAAAUGUCCUUCCAUCUCAGCACUAGCCUGGGGCCACCCUUCGUCCCACUGCACUUGGUCCUUUACAACUUGUGAGAUGCCACAAGAACUUGUGAUUCAAAUGCAUGAAAUGGAAUCUGUAAUUUACACUUGGCCAAGUAUGACCUCCCAGUGUCAAGCCCAUGCUGUAGUUUAGAGGGAAAUGUUUCUAUCGUGUCACUCCACUCUGAAAUGAUCUGUAGGAGUAAACCUUCAUUCAGUUGUAAUGCAUAGAAGAGAAAGGAAAUCUCAAAACAAAGGCACAAUACCCAAUAGCUUUCAAUAACAAAAAGCAACUGUAAAGUUUUCCUGUAGCCUGGAGAGAAGUUAAUCAAUCCAGUGAUUAUGAAUUAUUUUUUCCCCUCAUAAUAAUGUGUAAGAGGAAGUGAAGAACAGUAGGUCAAUGACUAAAGAGCUGUAUUGAAUCACUGCGUUGGAGAAGCUGUAAAUUUCACUGUCUUCUUUCCUUUAUUGCAAUUUUCCUUACUUCAUUGAGACAAAUGGAGUAGAAGGGGCCUAGAUCCUGACUCUUCUUGCAUUUCAUAUUGUCACUUAAAGAGGCAGUAUGAAUUUCUCCCAGCAAGCUGCCCUGCUAGGCAUUCUCCUGGAAGGGGGACUGUAGCUGAACAGUGGCUGCUAUUCUCUACUUUGUAGCACGUGUGAAGUGCAGAGUAACCUUAAACUCAGUGCAGUUGAUAUCCUGAGAUUAUUAUCCAGGUUUGACCAUUGCAAGGUCAAAGCACAGCACUGGAUUGUGCUUUGCAUUUCAUGAAAAUGUAACUUUUGCUUUUACCACAAGUAGAGAAGUUCACCAAAAGUGAGAGUUAAGCACCUCUCCUGCACUGUGGAUUUCUGAGGUAGCUUUGCAUUUCUGAAAUUAUGAGACAUAUUCCCAGAGCAUUUAAAUUUACUCUGCAGACACUGCUCAGCAGUUACACUACUUGAUAGAUGCUGGCUAUCACAUGUGUAGUUGUCUUCUGAAAAUAGAGCAGCAAGGUGAAAAAAUGUAUCUUUGAAUUUCAUGACCCCAGAUGCUCAGCCACAGAGAGUUACUGGAGGAUGAAACAUCAGGGCAGCCAGCAGCAAACGUGGCACCUGCAGUGCCCGAAAAGGCUCCCUGUGGGCAUCUGUACUUCCAACAUAUCUGCUGUUCAUGUGGGUAUAUCCAGGAACCCCCAAAAUGCUGCAUGCCAGUACUGCAGACACAACCCACAGACGCACACCAGUCUAAGCAGACCAUCAGAAACCAUCAGAAAUGUUUCAACUUCAACAGGUAAAGAGCUUGUGCUUGUAAAAUGCAAACUUACUGGUUUUAAUUGAUUAAAAAGACCUCUUCCUAGAUGUACAAGGAAGAUAAAAGCAAAAGCCUUUUAUUUUAUGAAGAUUGAAAAGAAGAAAGCACAGUCAUUUUGCACAAAAGCUGAAAAAUUAUUAACAAAGGAAAAUAGACUUCCUUUGCAGGAGAUACACUUCACUUAAUACUAAAUGGCAUAUCAUGAAAUCAAUUAAAAUAUUUGCAGCAUGUCAUGAAGUAUUCAUCAGUUGGGUAUUUUCAUGGAUGUCCUUAGAGCUUUAGUAGUGACUCUUGGUGUGCUGCUAGAUGCAGACAAAAUACCCAGCUAUGGCAACAAAUUGGAAGUAAUGAAGAGAGAAAAGCAAAUCUUCAGAUCUAGCUCUGCCUUGCUGCUCCCACUAAUGCCAGCCACCAAAGAACACAGCAGUGUCUGGGGGACCCACCCUCAAUCUCAGCUUUCUGGCUCUUUCCACAUUCUGUCUCUCCCCAGUUCUCCCUAAGAGAGGCAGUCAAGGUUCUGUCAUAGCUACACAAAAUUAACCUGUGUCUACAUUUCAGAGAUGCUUUGAGCCACCUCAGAUGCAUGUGUGAGCAUAGGUCCAGAUGCACAAAUGGACUUUGUCAUUGCUGUGUUUAACUUUUUCCUAGCUGACUCCCAGAGGAAACUCCAGGGCUCAAAAUGAAACCCUACAAGCACUCAAACACCUUGGGCAUCUUGGUGGCCAACAUGAGCUCACAAGAACCCCAGGACACUGAGGGAGGAGCCAUCUCUGCUUGGCAGUAAGAAAUACUGGAGAAUGGGAAGCCUUAAUUCCCAGUACAGGGACUGGAUGAACCAUCAGCUCGUCUGGAGAAGCAGUUCACCACCAGGUGGCAGAUACCACAACUUGGAUUUCAAAUGCUGGAGACCAAACGGCAGCACUGAUUCAGGAAAACCCUAUCUGUUGCACAUGAAUUUUAGAAAGGUAAACAGAUGCUCUUUUUUGACCAAGUCCAAGGAUGUACUGCAUGGACCCUACCAUGCUCCAAGUUACAGACUACUGAUAGUUGACUACUGUCUUAUAAUAAAUUUUAAUUCCCAGAUGAAUUCUUGUUAAGAAAAAAAAAAAAAGCCUUUUUGCUUAAUUACAGACCUAGCUAGAGUAAGAGUAAAUAUCUCAUCCAACACUUGCUCACUUAUACCUGUGCUGUUCUGUAGGCUAAAGCCUGCAUAGAACAUUUGGUUUCUUACCAAUUUCAAACAUACUGGUUCAGAAUAGUGAGAUAAAAUUGGUCCCUGAGAGCAUUCAUGAAUAGAAUGAAGGGCAGAAAAUGAAAAUAUUGCCAAGGUAUUUCAACAGUGCUUGAUUCACUCUACUAAAGCUACUCAAUCCUCCUUGUAACAAAGAAAAGCAUUGUGAGCCAUUUCCAAAAGCUGGGCUUUCCUCUGUAAUCUGUUCAUCUCAGAUCAGAACCACAGGUCUGUAUAAUUUGUCUAAUAUGUUGGACUGCAAAUGCUCCGAGGCAGUGACCAGUUCUUGUCCCUGUAUUUGCAGGGGAUUUAGCUGCUGGUUCCCUGACAAAGCACUUAAUCGAGCAGUAAGAGGUCAUUAUCACAGUAAGUCAAGGUGCUUUACAGACAGUUUAAGAAGCUUUGAGAAGGAAGUAUUGGAGCAGGAAGAAAGUGGGAGCUGAGGGAACUCUUAGUGAGUGUAUUAACUCCCAACAUUGCUAACAUUUCAGAAAGUCUCUGAACCUGAACUUUGAAGAUUUGUUUCUAGUAUUUUUUUAAGACAAACAUAUUUUCAUUAUUUUUGUAAGCUUUGUCAUUAAAAACUUGCAUUUUUUCCAUAUUAAUAUCUGCCAUCAUAAAAUAAGAAAACAAUUGCUUUUCUAGGUUAUCUUCUACAUGGACUUGGAGCUGCUGAUGCCAUGACCUAUUCAAGUUAUACUUUGUUCUCUGUGUUUUAUUAGCUUUAUUAGUACUUGCUUCACUGUGCAAGUGCAAUAUACAAGCGAGAAAAUCUCUUUGUAUUUUACUGAUGUAUCUGCAUCAGUAAGUUUUUGAAAAUUAAAACAUGGAAUUUAUCACUGGACUUUUAGAUUAGGCAUAACCUACUCUAAUCUUAAUCUUAACCUGUUACCUGAACUGCAUUAACUCUCUUCUAGCUUCAUUUAGCAUAUGGCCCAGGUGUGGAUAUAGAGAAAUCCAUUUCGUAAACUAUGUAUUUUGCAAAAUUAAACUAUCAAACCAAAUAAAAAACGCUCUUUUAAAGAUUUCAAACAUACUGACAUGGUGUUUGUUCAAGUAUAUUUGCUGUAUUAGAACCACAAAUCAUCAAACGAACAUAAAACCAACACAAUUAAAGAAACAAACCACUGCAAUUUAAUAGCAACAAUCUCACUUUACAAGAUAGCAAUGAUGGAAACUUUGCAAAGGAAUGUGAAAAAAAGAAUGUAAUUAAAAAUGACAGAUUUAAGACAACAGAAAACUGGAAAUUAAAUAGCACAAUAAUUCUAGUAUGCAGAAAUUUUAUUCAGAAUGUUUACUUAUGCAGCAUUCUGAUUAAUAAGUGACACUGUAUUACCAGCACUUACUAACAUCUGAUAAAUACUAUGCCCUUAAAGUCAUAUUUUUCUGUUCAGUGACCUUGCACAAACUGACAAUAAGUAACCCAGAGCCCAAAACCAAUUCACAGGUGGUCAGUACAAAAUUCCAAAACAGGACAGGAAAGGACCUGCCACAUACACAAUGAGUAAAAAUGCAAUUUAGUGCUAAUACGGUGAUAUCAAUAUUCAAUGCACUCCACAAUAUUUUAGAUUCCUUUUACAACAUAUACCACUUCCAAACAUGAACCAAAGCAAAGGGUGAUCUGGCUUUGUGGAUGGAAAGGAGCACUGACCUGGGAACUAGGAAAUCAGGAUUCAACUCCUGGCUAGAGAUCAGGCUCCCAAGUAAGACUUACGGUAAUAUGGAAAUUACAAGACUCUGAAAACCUUGAAAUUUACUGAAAAUAAAGCAAUGAAUUUGAGUUGGGGGCUUAUUAUUACAAAUUAAAUAGGAACUAUAUAGCACUUAAAUUACUUUGGAGAUUAUGUAUUAACUUUAGUAAGCAUGACUGCUGCUAAUCUGCAUAAAAAUGACUGAAUAAAACAUGAUAAACUGAAUGUAUACAAAGGAUUCUACAAAAGUAGAAGUCUCAUACUUCCUCUUCUUUGAACCCAAUUCAUGAAAAAGUGAGAAGAGGGCAGUAAGUGUGAGUACCCACAGAAAUCUCAGGAAGGAAACUGGCCCAUGGGAAGUGUGACUUCAGACAGGAAAUUUGGUGAUACCAGGAUUUCAUUUCCAAUGUCUUCAGUGAUACUUGAGCAAAUCAUUACAUAUUUAUCAAGAUACAGAGGACGCUUUUUUGAAAAGGGGUCUAAAUUUCAGUAUUGACUUAAGCUCAUGAGAACUGCAAAAGAAAGUAAGUCACACGAGCAUAGGAAAAAUGAAACCAAAGUAUUUUUCUUUUUAAAUACCAUAAAAUAAUGUGAUAACCACUAACAGAGGAAAAAAAAAAUCCACAAAGAUACUUUUUGCAGUUUAUUUUCAAUUAUAAUUUUUGGAUAACCAAGCAGCUCUGUAUGGAAAAAGCACAGAAGAGCAAAUCUGGCACUUUUGGAUAGUACAUUUGUUUUUUCCCCUAUUUUUUUAGACACAUUCAGUCCACUUGCUCGGUCGAUAGUCCAUUUUAUAUGAGCAUGAUUAGCUCAUGGGAUUCCAGAGGAAACUAACAAUAUAUACAGUCACUGAAACUAUCUUCUUGGCUACUCUGGGCCCUUUAAAAUGUCUUCUAAGUCUAUCCUGGCUAAACAGAAUCCACAAUAUACAUGAUAGCUACAGAAUACACUGUAUUGAAAUGAGAAAUGCUCAGCACAAAAUGGGACUCUUGGCAUGCAGCUUAAAAUAAAA